Long non-coding RNA from Drosophila virilis, 792 nucleotides. RefSeq lists it as uncharacterized. The record is from RefSeq and is a predicted model, not a curated record. Lineage: Eukaryota; Metazoa; Arthropoda; Insecta; Diptera; Drosophilidae.
UAUGGUGCCCAAAAAAGAAAAUAAAAUUUAAUUACGGCACAGGUUAUAAUGCUUACUUAUAAUUAAAUAUACAAGUGUCAGCUCUUAUUCUCAUUCUAAUUUACUUUAUUCUUUCAGCUACCUCUCUUCUACCAAUAGAUGGCAUAGAAAUAAACGACGUUUGUAUGUGAGUGGGGUGUUAAUAUCGAAUAACGUGUGAUAAGAAAAUAAAAAGAAAUGAUGAUAGGGCAAGGCGUAGAAGCAAGAGUCAAAGAGAACAAGGCUGACGGCUGUGCGGGCGAUAAAACUAUAAGAGCAUAAAAGUGAACAUCGCUUUGACGUCUCCUCUCACUCUCUCUCUCUCUCCCGCCCCCUCUCCCUUGCUUUGGGCGAAUGAACUCUGCACGUUGCGUGGUUGACAACAAAACUAAACCAAAUUGAAAGCAAAACCGAAAGCAAAUAUAAAUAUAAAUACAAAUCAGCUGGUCGCCAGUCGCUGGACUGGGCCACUCGCAACUGUGCAAAUACGUAAUAUCCAACUCAAAAGGUGUCAGCGGUGCCAAUUUGAAAACCUCUUUUUCUACCAAUUGGCACCACAAAGCACCACACAAAGUGUAUCAGAGCUUAAAAGCAAAUUGGCAUUUAUUUUGCAUGCGCAGUAUUUUGCUUAACUCUUAUUUAAAAUUUGUUUGUUUUUUUUUUUUGUGUGUGUGAAAUUUAAGUGUUGGAAUAUGCGGCUUCAUAUUUUUAGCUGACUAGGCAUCCAGCGCUUGUUUAUGUUAAAUAACAAUAAGCCCAAAAAAAGUGCAUUAA